AAAAUAUCUAUACUAUCAAUUAUAUUUUAACUUUUAGAUAAUACAAAUAUAUAUGUCCAUAUAUUAUUUAUAUGAAAAGUCAACCUUACAAACAAACAAACCACCUUCUUUUAGACAUACUAAUAAUGAGUUUUCUAAUUCAAUUAGGCAAACUUUUUAACCCACCAAUUUUUUUACCUGAAACACCUCAGAACCAAAGUAUUCAACCAACCACUUCCAUUGAUCUUCUGGGACUGAAGGAGGCUUAUUUCGUAUGUUUUGUUGAUAAGUUGCUUCGGGAUUGUAAUAUUUUGCUUUCAUCUUAUACUUUCUUUGCCUAUAACGAUCACGUAGCAUGUCCAUGACGUGUUCUUUGUUGAUCUCUGACAAAAUAAAUUUCUCCUACAAAAGUAAUAGAAGAUUAGUUGAGAAAAAAUAAAAAGUUUAUAAUAAAUAACUAAUCCAAGUAAUAGAAUGCAACUACUUAGCUACUUAUCUGCAUUUGUAGUAAGAGAGCUCAGUCACACAAUUAUACUAAAAUGCAAAUAAUAGGAAUGGAAGUAUGUAGCCCGAAUUAGCCUUGUUUGGUAACCAAUUAUUGAAUAUAUACACUGCCAAAAUGUACCUAGACUAUCACUUAUCCCGAAAUAAAGAGGCAAAUGUUAAAUCUAGGCAAUUCAAUCCAAUUUUAUAGAUUAUUAGCGUCUGACAUGUACAAUCAUGAAUAAAACAAACAUAAAAUUAUAAAACCCUACGAUAAAUCGAAGGAUAUAAAGCUAAUUCGGAACUAUUCAGCAUGUCAGAUAACAAAAUUAAUAACACAAGAAAGUAUAAAAUAGCAAAUGCCAAAUAUGUGAGCAUCGAACCUAUUUGGAAGAAGUAGAUUGGAUGUUGAUUAAUGGAAUGGAGUAGAUUGGAUGAUGAUUAAUGGAAUGGUAUAUCUUCUCAUUCAAAUUUAAGCUCUAUCAAACUUAUAUUUGAACUAUCAAUAUCAGCGUGUUAUGCUGAACAAGAUAUUUAUGCAUUCAAACAAGCUGUAAACAGUCUGUCGGUAUCCUUGGAUUGUAUGCGGAAAAGGCAGAAAAAAUAAUCGAUCCAUGCUAAUUUACUUGCACUAAUUGUACGCAAUGAAUUCAUAUAAGAUUUGUGGUUUGUCAUUACCAGAUAUUAGUUUUCCCUUGCAAGUUACACUUCGCCUAACCAAAUUUAUUUAUCUAUUUUAUUAUUGUUCAGUUAGUGUGUCCGACAAUGCAGCAUUGGGAUGUAGGAGUAAAACUGUCAUUCUCAUUCAAUUCUUCUGUACACAAUUCUUGUAAAUAUAAUUUUGUCCAUUCUGAGCUAUCUAUAAUGUUUUAACUAAAUGUCCCGGGUGCAUUCAAAAGAGAGCAGUUCAUUAUUUCUUUAUUUAUCUGAACCUUUAACCUUUCAUUCAGGUCAGAGGUGAACAGCACCCAAGAAAACUAGGCAAUGCUGGGAGAUUUCGACAUCUGAAAAUUUUUUUUGCAGCAAUAAACAGAAGCCGGAAUCUCGAUGCAAGUUAAACAACAUGAUAAAAGCCUUUGAUGUGAUCAACAGAGUGGAGAUCCUAAAGUUAUAAGCCCUCACAUGGUUUAUAAAUAUAAUGAAGCAGCUUUUGCUUGAAGUGUGAAAACUGUGAAUGGCUUUUUUUUUGGUGUGUUAGAGAGAUUGUUGUCAUUUGAUGAUAGUAUCACAUGUGUUCUACAUUUAUAUUCUGCUUUUCUAGCUUCAAGAAAAGUAAUUCAUCAGUAAAUCUAGAAGCUGAAGGAGGUUAAUUGCAUUCUGAUGGUUCUGAACUUCAUAGAAAAUGUAUAGGCAAUUUAUUUGCAACUAUAUUCAUAUUCACUUGCUGGUAGAAUUGGUAGUAACACUACAUUCAAUUUAUUUGCAACUAAUCCAGUACCCAGAAGAUCAAUAUUAUCAUAUAAAUCAUCGAAAAUUUUAAUGAUUAGCAUAUAUACCAUCUGGCCCUAUUUAGCAGUUUUCUUAAUCUCAGCAAUAAGCUUCUUUUCCUGGGCUUGAAGGCCUUGCCUCUCCCUCAAUCUUAAUCUCAGCAAUUUUAAUGAUUUCUAGAACCAGCUAAUGAAGCAUAAAGGACCUCAACAGUCCACAACCACAUUGCUUCCACUUCUAAGAACCGAGCUUCAAAAAUGCACCACUUACCCAAUAAACCAAAAAUCUCAAUGAACCUGACAAUACAAUAGAGAUGAGAACCUCAACCCCUUACCAAUCAACAAAAUUCCCCGUAAAAUUCAGUAUAUUGUUUUCAAUUUCACACAAACCUUAGAAAUUAAUCACAAAUUAAGCUCAUCAGCUAAUUAUAUAUAUAUAANUAUAUAUAUAUAUAUAUAUAUAUAUAUAAACAACAACAACACAACACAAAUCAAGUAAAUUCUAAAAUAAACCAAUCAAUCGAAAGAGAGAAAGCCCCAAAUACCUAUAGAUCCCGAGAUCGGGGGUAUAUCCGAGGACCUCGAGGAGUUGAUGUUUGAAGCCGAAGCCGAGCCCUACGCGGCCUUGGCGAUGCCGACGCCGCCGCCGCGCUCAUGAUGUGCGGCGGCAGGGAGUGGCGAUGAGACGGAUGCGGGGUGGGGAUCGGGUGCACCUGCGUCGAUCGCUGCUCGUACCCGCCGCUGAAGCUCCGCGGCAGCUCCCGUCCCCUCCGAUUCCGCGUGGUGAUCGCCGGAGAUCUCACCGGCGGCGAUCACCGGAGAUCUCGGCAGGAACGAUUUGAAUGGGAAGGGAUUGGGGGAAAAAAAACGUGGGGUACGUAUGUAAUUGGAAUUAGGUGGGGGUUGGAAACUUAAAAUACAAUGUGAAAAGACGAAUAAAUAAAAGAAGUGUUGAUAACUUGGGAAACAUCAGAUGUGGUACGGUGGUUAAGAGGGGUGGAGGAUUUGUAAAGGUUACGGGUUCAAGUCUCACUAACUUAUUUUUUGUGACAGUUUUUUUUUUUUUGUUUUGUAACUAAAGGCUUUUU
RNAcentral lists this long non-coding RNA (2977 nucleotides) under Ananas comosus (pineapple). RNAcentral describes it as "long non-coding RNA (ACOM_LNC042412)". Lineage: Eukaryota; Viridiplantae; Streptophyta; Magnoliopsida; Poales; Bromeliaceae. The record is from RNAcentral.